RNAcentral lists this transfer RNA (84 nucleotides) under Candidatus Omnitrophota bacterium. Its description in RNAcentral is "tRNA-Leu". It matches the Rfam family "tRNA". From Rfam's summary of the family: Transfer RNA (tRNA) molecules are approximately 80 nucleotides in length. Their secondary structure includes four short double-helical elements and three loops (D, anti-codon, and T loops). Further hydrogen bonds mediate the characteristic L-shaped molecular structure. tRNAs have two regions of fundamental functional importance: the anti-codon, which is responsible for specific mRNA codon recognition, and the 3' end, to which the tRNAs corresponding amino acid is attached (by aminoacyl-tRNA synthetases). tRNAs cope with the degeneracy of the genetic code in two manners: having more than one tRNA (with a specific anti-codon) for a particular amino acid; and 'wobble' base-pairing, i.e. permitting non-standard base-pairing at the 3rd anti-codon position. The record is from RNAcentral. Lineage: Bacteria; Pseudomonadati; Candidatus Omnitrophota.
GGGCGGAUGGCGGAAUUGGCAGACGCGUCAGCCUUAGGAGCUGAUGGGUGGAAACCCAUGGAGGUUCGAGUCCUCUUCCGCCCA